AUCAACAACGGGAGAUUAAUCAAGUAGACGAAGUGGACCCAAACAACUUUUCACAUUGGAAACAAUACACGAACAGCCAUUACUACACAGAGAAUGACUUCAAAGUGGAAAAUAAGAAGGAAAAAGGUCUGUCACUUGUUCACUGUAAUUGUCGCAGUAUGUAUGCAAAUUUUGAAGACAUUAAGGAUUACAUCUCUACUUUGUAUAGGUUUGACAUAAUAGCACUAUCAGAAACUUGGAUGAAUGAAAAAAAAGGCAUGGAUUUUAUGAUAAAAGGAUAUAAAUUUGUCUAUAAGAACAGAUUACAUAAGCCAGGAGGAGGGGUAGCACUAUCCAUAAAAGAAAAUAUAGAUAUGGAGAUUAUAGAGUCUUUGAGUUUAACUGUGGAAGAAGUAAUGGAAUGUAUAACAGUGAAAAUUACAAGUCCAGAGGGACGUAAGAUAAUAAUCUGCUGUUUGUAUCGUGCACCUGACUGUAAAAUAGACAUAUUUAAUGAGAAACUAACCAAAAUGAUAGAAGAAAUCAAAAAUAAGAGAUUACUGAUAUGUGGAGACUUCAAUAUAAACAUUUUAAAUCCUUUAAAAAAUACACACAUUGAAGACUUUGCCAAUUGCAUGUACACAAAUGGAUUAAAACCUCUCAUAACGCAACCAACCAGAAUUAAUAAACACAGCUCAACACUGAUAGAUAACAUCUUCACAAACAUACAAAACACAGAUAUAAAGAGUGGUAUAUUAAUAAAUGACAUCUCUGAUCAUUUACCAAUAUUUAUGAUACUAAACGCAAAAGAGAAGAAGAACCGUGAAAAUCAUAACACACAGACAUACAGGAGACUGGAAGGAGAAAAACAACUAGAAAACUUUAAACAACAGAUAAAAAGACAGACGUGGGAGAGUGUUUUCAAGGAAGAAGACGUGAACGUAGCGUAUGACACAUUUACAGACACAAUAACGACAAUAUACGAUAAAUGCUGCCCUUUGAAACAAAUAACAACCAAAAGUAAAAUAAACAAUGUACCAUGGAUUAAUAAGAAAAUAGCCAACGUAUGCAAAAAGAAAAACAUAUUAUAUAAAAAAUAUAUAACAGAAAAAACAUUAAAAGCAGAAAUACGUUAUAAAAAAUACAGAAACAAAGUUAAUAAUUUACUAAGAGAAAAAAAAAGAGAAUAUUAUGAAAAACAAUUAAAAGAG
RNAcentral lists this long non-coding RNA (1190 nucleotides) under Gouania willdenowi (blunt-snouted clingfish). Its description in RNAcentral is "lncRNA (ENSGWIG00000017669.1)". The record is from RNAcentral. Lineage: Eukaryota; Metazoa; Chordata; Actinopteri; Blenniiformes; Gobiesocidae.